This 2426-nucleotide long non-coding RNA is filed under the name Bemisia tabaci. Its description in RNAcentral is "lncRNA ENSSSA2NGG008714". The record is from RNAcentral. Lineage: Eukaryota; Metazoa; Arthropoda; Insecta; Hemiptera; Aleyrodidae.
UGUGAUCAAGAAGGUAUCACUGGUGUAACACACCUAUCAAGUAUUCAGCCAAAUAGCUAAGGGCCCACUUUUCCAUGUAGUCAGUUUUGGGAUCCUUUCAUGCUUUUUGGAAACCCCUCUACAUUUUUCUAUAGAAUCCAACUUUCACGAAUUAAUGGGAUAAACUAUACCUGACUGUCAGCAUUCUUAUUAUGUUUGUUCAUGUUUCUGUAGGUCUUUUUUUUCUGCAGCCUCUGUAAAUGAGGAAAAUUAUAAGAUUUUAGUCCGAAAUCUAGUCAUCUAGUAUAUCAGUAUAUCAAGAUGCUAAUUUACUUUGAGGUGACAUCAAAUAAAUAUUCAAAUUUUAUAUUUUUAUUUUAAUUUUUUUUUAAAAUUGUAUUUCAGCUGCAGAGUGUUUUGAAAAACUUCCAACUGCAGAUAUUUACGUCAUGGAACAAAUCAAACAGAGACAGGGCUCCAAAAAUCCUGGAACGAGCGUAGCUUUUAUGAUGAGAUUACAAAUAUUGUCAAUGCUCAUCCCUAUGUUAUCCGCCAGGCGUCCCUCUCCUUUCAGUAAGGAAAAUGAUACCAGCGUCUCCAGGAUAGCACUUCUGAAGCCCUAUCUUGCUAGCAGAUUGUUCAAUCUCUUAGUUGCAGAUGAGCAAAUAGCAGUUGAGCCUAUUGUGAAAAGAUGUUGAAUAAUGAGCCUUCCAGAACGCACUCUCCUUUGAAAAUUUCGGAUGAUGCUCGCCACUCGUAUCAAGCAAGCAGAUCAGCUUUCGACCGUGAAAACAUGGGUGUUGCCCUCCUUAUGAACGUCACUUUCAUGGAAUUACUUGUCUAUGCAAAUCCUAGUAGUCAUACAAUUUUAUUGAAGAAUUUUGAUGACUUUGUGAGGCGUUAAUGGUUUUGAGGUCAAAAAACACCCAGACUUAGAGAGAGCCACUCAAUGAGAAAGCCUGUUUAAGAAUUUUGGUAUGUGAUCUACUAUUUUGUUACUGUGUCUGAAAAUUACAUAGGUUAUUAGAUGGUCUUUCUACAAUUUUUACCAUUUCUUUUGUUGAAUUAUUUUUAUGGGUCAAAAAGUAACUGAAUAACUGAAAGAUCAAGUGAUUAUAUCAACAUAUUAAUCCUGCAAGUCAUUUUCUUACAUUUUGUUGAUGGUAGGAUGAGUGCAAUGCCGUCUCUUAUCGAAUUUUCCUUUUAUUAAUUCACUUUAAUAAAGAGUAUUUGAUGCGUAGGUUUUGUUAAUGAUAAAAAAAUUAAAUUUAACAAAUUUUAGUUUUCAAGGGGGGGGGGGGGGUGGAAUAGGGCAUAGAUACUCCCAUGAGGUCAAGAAAGACGUAAGUAUCAAACAUAUCUUAAUUUCCUCAUUUGAUGUGCAGGAAAAGAAUUUUCUGACGUCAACCCUAAGUAAGUGUUAAUGCCCCAAAUCCAAGAUGGCAGCCAAAAUAUCAAUGCUGACAUAACUUUUCAAUAAUCGGCCCAUAAGAGACAAGGAGUCCAAAGUCUGCUGGUCCUUCACCUGCCUGUAUUUGUAUAAUGAAUAUGUACCUGAUCUAAGUUCUGAAGAGGUUGUUCUCACUAUGAACUGGAACUUUUGAAGGAGCUUUUUGUGUUGAAAUACAAUAAUUGCGAGAACUUACAAGUCUAUCAUUAUCUUUGUCCAUGCCUGACUAUGAACAGUAUCGCUUCUCCAAUGGUUUCAUGUUGGUGAUGCCCUUAAAUGUGUUGAUUACAAUCCAUUUUAUCUGGGUUGCAUACAUGGCCCCCGAUAAGUUCAAAUUUCAAGGAAAAUGAAAUUUCAUUCUACAGGAUAAUGAUAUUUCAUUCCAUGAAACAUAUUGCAUUUCUGGUACCUAAAAUCCCACCAACCUAUCAUUCCGCUCUCAGAAAGCAGGCUAAAACGAUCAAAAUCAAAAAAGUCCAUUUGUUCUGAGUGGAAACAUCGAAUAUGGAAUGACCUAGUUACUAAAUCAGUCAGUGACAUAAUAGUCACCCCUUUAGACCAGGGUUGCCGUUUUUAAUGAAAUAUAAAAUCUUGAAGUUUCGUGUGUAAUAUUUCAUGAUUUUCCGUUUAUGAAAAAUACUAUUGGAAAUGAAAUGCAAAAAAUAAUAAUUUUCCCUUUUUGGUAUCUUGUAGUGCAGAAAUAUAUUGGGUUUCCCAAAAGUGCGGUUCACACCCUCUAAAAUUUUACCUACCUAACUCAUAUUUUGAAACGAAACUUUAUGAGGGUAUAUGUGGAUCAGUGUGAGAUACUUUUAGGGCCCUCAAAAUUUUCAGGGGCCUACCUCAGGGGGGUUGCAGACCCCAACUGUGUUCCAAAUAGCAACCCCUCCCCUUUCAUGACACUUCAAGCGAAAGAAAAAUAAAAUACAUUUUCCCGCAUAAACCGCAGAUCGCCUUUUUGAUUUUUUACAAAAUGACAGCUGCCGGUCGAAGUUCA